RNAcentral lists this microRNA precursor (57 nucleotides) under Sarcophilus harrisii (Tasmanian devil). Its description in RNAcentral is "Sha-Mir-7398-o13_pre stem-loop". Lineage: Eukaryota; Metazoa; Chordata; Mammalia; Dasyuromorphia; Dasyuridae. The record is from RNAcentral.
UGUUGAAAAGGGUGAGGGUACCGUGCACUAUCGGGUAACCCUCCCUUCUUUCACAGU